CCUACGGGAGGCUGCAGUGGGGAAUUUUGCACAAUGGACGCAAGUCUGAUGCAGCAACGCUGCGUGAAGGAUGAAGGUUUUCGGAUCGUAAACUUCUUUUAUCGGGGAAUAAUCUUGAAGGUACCCGAUGAAUAAGCACCGGCCAACUACGUGCCAGCAGCCGCGGUAAUACGUAGGGUGCAAACGUUAUCCGGAUUUAUUGGGCGUAAAGAGCUCGUAGGUGGCGUGAAAAGUCAGAUGUGAAAGACCCAGGCUCAACCUGGGGAACGCAUUUGAAACUCUCAUGCUAGAGGUAUGCAGGGGAAGAUGGAACACACGGUGUAGCAGUGAAAUGCGUAGAUAUCGUGUGGAACGCCAAUGGUGAAGACAGUCUUCUGGGCAUUACCUGACACUGAGGAGCGAAAGCGUGGGGAGCGAACGGGCUUAGAUACCCCAGUAGUC
This 441-nucleotide ribosomal RNA is filed under the name uncultured bacterium. RNAcentral describes it as "bacterial SSU rRNA". It matches the Rfam family "Bacterial small subunit ribosomal RNA", at positions 338 to 795 of the family's 1533-position model. The record is from RNAcentral.